UGCCCAAGAAGAACCGACCCUUCUGUGACGAGGACUUCACCCAAGAUGAACCAACCCGUAGAAAGAUGAAAUGACCCUUCUACGAUGAUGCCUCUUUUCCACGGGAUGUCUUCAGGAAUUUCCUGCUUACGGAGACCUGGUCAGACCCACCAUAUACAAAAGCCUGAGCAUGUCAAAAAAAAGAUUUAUGGCUUUGAUUUUAAAAUUUUAUUUUGGUCUUGAAUCUCCGUUAUCAUAGUUGCAACUUGGACUGUUGACAAAUGUAGAAGCUUUAUUCUCAACUGGUAAUUGCUUUGUUAAGAUAACUGGUUCCUGAUUUGAUUAUGA
Long non-coding RNA from Solea senegalensis (Senegalese sole), 327 nucleotides. RefSeq lists it as uncharacterized. The record is from RefSeq and is a predicted model, not a curated record. Lineage: Eukaryota; Metazoa; Chordata; Actinopteri; Pleuronectiformes; Soleidae. The transcript has 3 exons.